RNAcentral lists this long non-coding RNA (720 nucleotides) under Gallus gallus (chicken). Lineage: Eukaryota; Metazoa; Chordata; Aves; Galliformes; Phasianidae. The record is from RNAcentral.
GUUUCACUAGCAAAUUCAAGUAUAUCUGCUGCUGUUCCUACAAACAUGAGAAGCAGCUGGGACAACUGGUCCCGUGUGAUUUCAACCCCAAUGGGGAGAAGCCAUCUCCCAACUACUAGAAGUAGUAGAAAGGUCUGGUGGAGGGCCAGGGUCCAUACAGUCUCACAGAUUGUGGAGAGCUGAUUCACCAAGACUUUAGCCGUCCGAAUGAUGUGGUGAUCUAUUCUCUCGCUUCCAUCACUGCUGUCUGGAGACUGACUGAUGUCUUGAUCGGUGACAUUUAACUGAACAGCUUCAAGCUCAUUACUGCAAUACUGUGUCCCAUGGUGAAUUUCCAGUAGCCAUAAUGAUGGUACUAUGCAAAUCAGAUACAAAAAGAUUGCUGGGGAAAACCAUUUGUAGCCUCUGCCUUGCUUAAACUUGAGCGUCAGCCCUGUCUCCAGGCAAAGGAGAAGAUUGAGCAGUGCCAGCAGCCAGUACUUGGGUUCUUUCUUCACUUCAGUCACUCUCCAUACCCCGAUGAGGGAGUGCAGCACGAACAGCAGGCGAGUAACAAGAGCGUUGAGCAGAACCAUCAGCUCCAUCUCGGCCCAGUCCCUCUCCACUCUCCCCACACGCAGGCCCAGUGCCUGUUAGUAGCCCAGAGAAGCUGCUCUGGGAAUCACAGCAAAGCCCGCACAACGCAGGCACGCAGCUCUUUCCUCUCGCAUCUCCACAAAG